Molecule: microRNA precursor, 122 nt
Filed under: Gossypium arboreum
Lineage: Eukaryota; Viridiplantae; Streptophyta; Magnoliopsida; Malvales; Malvaceae
Description: MIR7504 microRNA precursor family
Rfam family: MIR7504 microRNA precursor family
Source: Rfam by way of RNAcentral
AAUAGUUUUAUGCCACAUCAGUAUUCUUAUCCUGAAUUUUAGGAUUUUAAUUUGGAUUUGAUUUUUUUCAGGAUAAAAUCCUUAAAUUCAGGAUAAGAGUACUGAUGUGGCAUAAAACUAUU